Molecule: non-coding RNA, 1431 nt
Organism: Paramormyrops kingsleyae
Lineage: Eukaryota; Metazoa; Chordata; Actinopteri; Osteoglossiformes; Mormyridae
Source: the annotation of a RefSeq genome assembly
UGCACUGGUGCAUGACAAUGUGUCCCAACAGGAUGCACCUGUUUGAUGAAGAAAAAAAGCCCAUUAUUUUAGCAUUUAGACAAGUUUGCAAUGAAGAAAAUGUGUCUAACACCAUUAGUACUGACUGUAAAUGACUUAAAUCAGAAUUAGGGGCAUUUAAAUUUCUGUUCACCUCCAACACAUCAGCUGCUGGAAAAUGCUACUCAUGCUACUCAUCAUAGAGAAACUGAGAUCCACCCCCCGGCCCCCAAAAAGCUUUUUCAUGUACCACUGUUAAUUUAUGAUACAUUUUUCGGAAGAACAUUACCUUCUCUCUCUCUCUAUCUCUCUAUCUCUCUCUCUUUGUAGAUGUUCUCAAAAAGAGUUUCACUUCUGGCAAUUAUCUCGGCACUGACCUCAGGAGAUUCUCAUGCAAAUCACACCCACGCCUGCCUACUUAUGCCAUAGAGAUUCCGUCCUGAAUCAGGCUGUAUCUCCCCACAUCAAGGAUGGCAGACAAGCUCCCGCUGCUUCUGCUCUUACUUGGUCUCCCUAGUGUAAUAUGUGAUGGUCUGGAGUCCAUUCCAUCAAAUCCAGUACUACAGGAGCCUGGGACAAUUCUCAGUCUCUCCUGUAAGGGGUCUGGAUUUAAUUUUGGAAGCUAUGGCAUGCACUGGAUAAGACAAUCUGCUGGGAAGCCCCUGGAGUGGAUGGGGGUUAUCUGGUAUGAUGCCAGUAAAACUGUUUAUGCAAAGAGUGUGGAGGGACGGAUAGAAAUCACCAGGGACAACGGCAACAGCAUGGUGUAUCUGAAACUGUCUGCUCUGAAAGCUGAAGACACAUCUGUGUAUUACUGUGCUGGAUACACAGUGUCACAUGUGUGUGGCUUAGCUGUACAAAAAGAUCACGGAUUGUUGAAAAGCACUCAGCAAAUUUCAGACAUUCUGGAGACACUGUGAGCAUUAGGCUCAGAACAAGCUGUCAUUCCGAACAUGUACUCUAUGAAAUAUAUUGUUGUACAUGUAGCUGAGUGGAGAAACUCUCCCAGUUUCCAUAUUUAAUAUAUUGGGGUAGUAUCCCCAAAACGCUGCUGAAUAGGGGCGGCUACUAUCACUUUAAGAGCUCUCCAAGCUUUUCGCGUUUCACGCGAUAACGCGGGAUUUUGGGGCUGAAGAACAUGGCGUGGCGCUUCGGCAUGCCUACACGGUAUAACUCUGGCAGGUGCGCACGGUUAAUCUGGGUCAUAGAGGGACGGGAAUUAACCAGUUUAUAAGAGCUGUUGAGGGAUUCCUGGUGGAGAUCAAACCACUUACGUAUUUAUUUUGGGUCGUACUUAUUUGGUCGUACUCAUGGGCGUAAAUCCCGGGGGGGACGGAGGGGACAUGUCCCCCCCCUAUCCGAGGGUUGUCCUCCCAAAAAAUAUUUUAAAAAUAAUAAAAAGUCGCACUAUCU